CUGGGUUGGUAGGCUUUUAUUUUGAUAUUACAAACCAUUUUUCUUUAUUCACAAACCACGGUCGUGAUAUAAACACUAAUUUCUAAAGACAGAUAUACACAUUUUCUGGGUUUGUAGGUUUCUUUUUUUUAAAUCUGUUUAGAAUUCACUAUAUUCCAUAUAUGGUAGUAAUAAUUUUUUCAUAAGUCAUAUUAUCAGUAAUUAUUUAUAUAAGUGAAAACAUUCCCAAUAUAUAUUGUAAAAAAAAUUCAAAUGCUUUUCUUACAUAACUAUUUAAGACAUACAUUUUAAAAUGACUGCUAGGAAUACUGUAGGAGCUUUAUAAACAAAAUAUUUUCUACUAUGGGCCGCACCGUCAAGCUUUCAAGAUUAUUUGUAAUAGAUUAAAAUGCCAUAUAAGCAUUUGGGGGGUGGGAGUUGUAAAGUCAUUUCAUGAAAAUUAAAACUGCAAAUAAAGUCUGCUAUUCCC
Molecule: non-coding RNA, 469 nt
Organism: Tinamus guttatus (white-throated tinamou)
Lineage: Eukaryota; Metazoa; Chordata; Aves; Tinamiformes; Tinamidae
Source: RefSeq, a predicted model, not a curated record